Molecule: long non-coding RNA, 6442 nt
Filed under: Sus scrofa (pig)
Lineage: Eukaryota; Metazoa; Chordata; Mammalia; Artiodactyla; Suidae
Description: lncRNA (ENSSSCG00055026158.1)
Source: RNAcentral
GGGAUUAAGGAAAAAUAAAAUGCCAUAAGAUUUGCUCUUCUUACCAAAAUUCCACCAUUUAUCUUAAAUAAACAAUUCUUGGAUUGUUGUAAGCCUUUAGUUAAUUUCCAGAGUUUUAAAAGAGACAAUUUGACAGUUUUUGCCAGUGUUAUCAUCGCUUUCAUGCAGAAGCUAUUUUGGGAGUUCUUUAUUCUACUGUUCCAAAUAUUAAGCUGUGUUCUUAAAAAAAUAAUUAAAUAGUACAUAUACAAAAAAAGAGUAUCGUAAAUAAGAUUUCUACCCUUAAGUGCAUUUUUCCCCUAAUCCCAACCAGAAUAUUAAUUAGUAUUAGUGAUUACUGUGUAUUCUUCAUAUAUAUAUACUAGAGAAGCAUCUAUGUGUGUAGAGAUCUAUGUUUCCUUUUGUACAUACAGAAAUUUACUAUAUACUCAUAUUCUGUAUGUUUUUUUUCACUUGGUAAUUUACCUUAGAUAUUGGUCCAUACUAAUCCAUAUUGAAGUUAUCUCAGCCUCUUAUUAUUGUUGUUGUAGUUGUUUGGUAUUCUAUAAUGGAUAGUCCAUUAUUUGCACAUUUUCUAGUAGCAAAUAUUUGAGUUGGUCUAUGCUUUGUUAUUUCAAACAAUAAUGAAGUGAACCUUAUUGCAUUCACAUCUUUUUGACCAUAUAUUACUAUAGGAUAAAUUCCUUAUUUUUUGUUGCUUUUCUCAUAAAUUUAGUUUACAGUUUUACUUUGUAUUAGAGACAUCGCUCCUUUAUUUGGCAACUUGAGAGUUAUUAUUUAUGGCUAGCAAUUCUUCCUGUUCACCUUCUUGCAAUGGAAGUGGGGGUUGUUUUAAGUUACAACCUGGAAAUUGUAGGAAACGGGGAAAGAGAGGAAGUUGAGCUAUAAUAAGUAGAUACGAAAGCAUUCCCUACUCAUGGCUUAAAAUGUUUUGCCCUCAGGUAUUUCUACUGCUGAAAAAAUUAGUUGGGAAAACUAGCUCUUCAAAAAUACAGUAAAACCUGUGAAAAGUGUAGUCCUUGCUUAACACUUAAGAUGAAUUACUAACAUUUUUCAUUCAAAUAGCUUGGGUUUUUAUUGUAUAUGUAUAUUUAGAGGCCAAAGCACAUUCCAAGACAGGGUAAAAGUCUUUGUAAAUUCGAAGGGCAAGGAAUGAAGAAAUGAAGGCUAACAAAAAGAUACUUUUACUUUUAACAGAAAGUAAGUACAUUUCAGGACCAUACUAUUAUGCUGCUAAAUAUUAUUGCCUAGACUGAGGAUAAGUGAAGAUUAUUUUUAUGAUCUGCAAGAUAAAUUUUUUUAAGUUCAAUCUAAAUUUUCCUGCCAGAUAGUGAAAUCCAAUUUAGUAUUUCCCAGUCAGCCUAGUAUCUCUUUCCUUCUUUUUCUAUUGGUAAAAGAAAUAAAAAGAAAUGGAAAACAUAUGUCUCCAUUCCAUUUUUUGAUAGUAGGAUCAUAUAGUGCUAUAGUUGAGCAUUUGCUGGGUUACUGUGGUAGGCAGGAUAAUAGCUCUCCAAAGGUGUCCAGCCCCUAAAAUCUAGAACCUGUGAAUGUUACCUUAACUCACGGCAACGCCAGAUCGUUAACCCACUGAGCAAGGGCAGGGAUCGAACUCGCAACUUCAUGGUUCCUAGUCGGAUUCGUUAACCACUGCGCCACGACAGGAACUCCAUAUUGGAUUUUGAAUCUCAGUUGAUCUGCGUUAUAUCAGUUCUUUAAGAACUGCAAAGGACUUAAUACUCUCCCCCACCUCUUACCUUCUAUGGUAUUUUAUUUGUACCUCUGCUUUUGUGGUGAUUUUUUUUUACACUGAUAUCCUCAACUCUUUGUUCUUAAAACACCCAGGAGCACCUGAAAGUGGUCUUUUACAUACCAGGUUUUCAAAAUAUUACUGUAUUGAAUUAAGACAGAAGACUUAGUUAUUUUCUUUAAUGUUAGUUUAAUAGAGGAGCUGUGAUGUAUAUGUAAUGCUAACAACAUGGAAUUCUAAAUAAUAAACAUAACUCCAAUUAUGUAAAUGAGAGAUACCUACAUUGGAGUUAAUAAGUUAUUUGUAGCUUUAAGAGCCAGAAAGAGCCAGAUUUUAUUAACAACCUAUGGAAUGUUUUUGGUAGGUUAGCAUUUGUUAUUUCUUCCAAGAUAUAUUUUAAUCAUAAUAUUUAAAUUUGAGUGUGAACCCUAGUGAUACCUAUUUAUUCCCAUAGUCUGUCUGAAGAAGUAAGCAAUACCAGAUCUAAUCUCUAUUUUUGAAGCAAGGAAGAGAGGGAAGAAAGGAAAGAAGAUAGGUAAGUAGGUGAGCAUGGAGGAGAAUUUAAAAUGCUUAUCUUGGUGUUCCCGUCAUGGCCACAGUGGAAAUGAAUCCAACUAGGAAUCAUGAGGUUACUGCUUUGAUCCCUGGCUUUGCUCAGUGGGUUAAGGAUCUGGCAUUACCAUGAGCUGUGAUGUUAAGUCCGCAGACGCGGCUCAGAUUUGGUGGUGCUGUGGCUCUGGCAUCAGCUGGCAACUGUAGCUCUGAUUUGACCCCUAGCCUGGGACCCUCCAUAUGCUGUGGGUGUGGCCCUAAAAAGAAAAAACAAGAUGCCUAUCCUGUAUAAUUUCGUCCCCUCAGAAAAUCUUACAGGGGUGGGGUUAGAAGUAGAAGACCUGGAAGGUCAGGUUCUUAUGAAACCACAAAGCACCACACCUACUUGGAAAACCAGUUUGUGCUGAGCAGGAACAUGCAACUGGGACUGAGCUGGGGUGGAUUCUUUCAAUUUCUUUCAAUUUCUUUCCCUUUGCGUGUUUUCCACCCUAUCAGUCAUUUCAAAGGCACAUGGAUUUAAAUAGUGACAGACACAUUUGAUACUUUACCCUUUAGCCCAGUAGAGUGUGUCUACUUUCCUCACAAUAAUGAGGAAUUUGCAAUAUCACAAGAUCUAAAAACAUUUAUAGAAUAAAAGCCAGGCUUAUAAACCUUGUAUUACUGUAUGCUAUUAUUGUGCUAUGUUAAAUGGAUAUACUCUGUUUUUUCCCUAGAGGAAAUCGUAGUUUGAAUUCUAACUAAUAAGUAUUUAAUUGAAAAGAUGUGUUUGAAAUGGAUUUCAUAGAUAUUUUUCUGGAACGGGCUAGCACUUAGGAGAAGUUAGACUUUAAUUUCUUCCUCCCAUUUUCCAUAUAUAGUAUGUUAUAUACCUUCUACUUUUCAUAAUAUAUGAUGUGAUCAAAAUUUGGUAUUAUACUAAUAUAAUUUGUUGAAGUGAAUUUGACCUGAUUUGAAUUAAAAGCUCUUUGGAAAUGAAUAUGUUAGGAACUAGAAAUGCUCCUAUAGGUGUUCCUGGAUACUGUACUAGUUCUCUCAUAGACUUUUUGCAUUAUUCCAUCAAAUAGGAAAUAACUGAAACCCCUCAAGCCCAAGUUAUACUUUUUUUUGGGGGGAGGCGGUAAUUUACUGUUUUGGAAUUGAAAAUGCAUUUCUUCCUUUGAAACCCAUGUAGUACAUUGAGCGAGGUUCCUAGGACAGAAUUUCCAGAGAUCUUUUCAUCCUAAAAUGGGAGGCCUUGUCUGAUUUCUGGAUCAUUGUUGACAACUACAUAACUGGAAAUGAGAAGAAGCCCUAGAAAAGAGAAUUCCAGAGGGAUUUCACCUUACAAUAUUGCUGAAUUAAUGAUACUUUGAAAAAAGCACUACGUUGCUAAAGCAGAUCUUAAUAUGUUCCUGUACCAUCAUCAUAAUGAUAUGUAAAAGUUUUUUUCCUGUAGCUCUUUCUCAAUCUCAACCUUUUGCCCCUCCCUUUUUUUUUUUUUUUUUUGGUCUCAAUUUCCUCACUUAUUUCCAUUUUAAUAUAUAGUACUGGUAUUUUUAUAUGCUAUCAAUCGCUUUGUAAUAAAACAGAAAUAAUUUUUAAAAGUAUCACAUUUAAGAUGUAUUAGAAACCACUAACAGAGCAAUUGGGAAAGAUGGAAUAGAGCACUAGACUUGGGCUCAGGUUCUAGCACCACAAUUUUCCAAUUCAGGGCCAAAACUUUGGCCUCUCUCAAGAGACUAUUUUUCUCAUAUACUCUAAGAUCUUAAUGCUGAUUAAGUCAUGUUAUAUUUGGGAAAGUAUAUGGCAUAAACUAGAAAGAUAAUUACAUAUUAGUUGAAUCUAUAUCAGGUUUUCAUAGGUUAGGGAAAAUAUAUUGUGGUUUUUCUUCCUUUUUAAAUCUGUUAUUCCUGUGACCGAAUUGUUACAGUUUGGUGCAUUCACUAGGAAUGAGUCUAGGCAUUCUGGAUUUUGAGCAUUUGUGAAAAAUCUAAUGAAUGCCACAUCGGUGCUGUGCCCAGAGAGCUUCCUCUAGAGAAGGCUUAUUCCUUGAACUUCCAUGUUGCAUCAGUGCCAGUAGACAGAACCUAUGACAAGAGGAAGCCUUCUCCAAGCCUCCAAAGCAGCACCCUGAAACAUAUAUUCUUAUAGACUUUGUGCUAUAUAGUAUUGAUUUGUCAUGGUUUUCCUUCAAAAGCCAUUUUAUUCUUAACACAAUUAAACAACAGUGCAAUUGUGAGAAUAUAACUAUACUCCCUGUAUUUCUUGUUACAAAUGGGCCUUUCCCUGAGGUGGGUCUAGGCUCUUUUAUGGAGACCUGUCAUCUUCAUGUUGGCCUUUGUUCUGAGCCAGCUUUUUCUAAAGACUGGAACUUCCUUCAGUCUGUUUCAUAUCCAAGCCAAAAAACUCUGUACCCAUGAACUCUAUUAAUGAAGCUGUAUUAUACUGUGAUUGGAAACCUUUUUGGGAGUUCCCUUGUGGCUCAGCAGAAACUAAUCUGACUAGCAUCCUUCAGAAUGCAGGUUCACUCCUUGGCCCCGCUCAGUGGAUUAAGGAUCCGGCUUUGCUGUGAACUGUGGUGUAGAUCACAGAUGGGGCUCAGAUCCUCCGUUGGUGUGGCUAUGGCGUAGGCCUGCAGCUAUAGCUCCAAUUUGACCCUUAUUCUGGGAACCUCCACAUGCCAUGGGUGUGGCCCUAAAAAGACAAAAAAAAACAAAAAGAGAGAGAGAGAGAGAGAAUUGAAGCAUGCUCGUGUUGGGAGAUGGUGCCGUGCUAAUAAUACUUCCUACAAGUACUGUAUAUGUGAAUAAGGUAUUAUGUUGUGGAACUCAAAUGAAAACUCUGCGGAUUAUGUAAAAACUAUGUUAACAAUAUCUUUAAGUUAUUUGAGAAAAUGAGGAGACCUAGAUCACAGCCCUUAUAUCACUGUUAUGACCUUCAUUUGGCAAGUCACCCUUUUAGAUCUGUUUGCUUGAAAAUGAAGUAACAUCUGGGAAAUUGCUAAGGCUUUUUCCAGUGUAAAUUUCUAUUACUCUUUUUAUUAAAAUUUGAGGUGAUAAAAACUUGGUCAUACUGUACAUAAAUGAUUGUUUUACUCAAGAGUUAUUAAUAGUGUAUAAUUUUACAUUGCAGACUUGUCUUCUAAAAAUAGACAAAAGUAUAAUUGUAUUUUUCCCUAAGUGUUUAUUGCUUUAUAUGCUGUAUUUCUUGAUCAGACUUCUUCAUUUUGAGAAGGAAAAUAUUUUUCUAAGGAGAAUCUCUUAUCCUUUUUAUUUCCUACUAGCUCUUCCCCACCCCCACCACCCAAAGAUAACCUCCUCCUGCAUCCAUACUUGAAAAGUAAGUCUCGGAGUUCCCAUCAUGGCUCAGUGGUUAACGAAUCUGACUAGGAACCAUGAGGUUGCGGGUUCAAUCCCUGGCCUUGCUCAGUGGGUUAGGGAUCUGGUGUUGCAGUGAGCUGUGGAGUAGGUCACGGACGUGGCUCGGAUCCCUGGGUUGCUGUGGCUGUGGUGUAGGCCGAUGGCUACAGCUCCAAUUUGGCCCGUAGCCUGUGAACCUCCAUAUGCCGCGGGAGUGGCCCAAGAAAUGGCAAAAAGACAAAAAGACAAAAAAAAAAAGUAAGCCUGACAACCACAAAACCAACAAAGUCUGGGACAUUAUUCUCUGCAGUGAAGAUAGACCAAUGCUUGGCAACUGUGUUGUAAAAAUAUAAUUCAGAGGGAGUAAAUUCAUGCAAAACUGUCACAAAUAGUAUGAUUUAUAGCAUAGCACAGUCAAAAGGGAAAUGUCAUUUCUUCACUUUCAUACACACAUGCGUGCAUACACACACGCGGACACACACACACACACACACACACACACUUGCUUUCCACUAUUUUUGCCUCUGUUCUCCUUAAAAAAAACAUUUACAGGAGUUCCCAUCAUGAUUCAGUGGUUAAUGAAUCUGACUAGCAUCCAUGAGUACAAAGGUUCAAUCCCUGGCCUUGCUCAGUGGGUUAAGGAUCUGAUGUUGCCAUGAGCUGUGGUGUGGGUUGUAGACAUGGCUUGGAUCCUGCAUUGCUGUGGCUGUGGCUGGCAGCUACAGCUUCGAUUUAACCCCUAGCCUGUGGACCUCCAUAUGCCACCAGUGCAGCCCUAAAAAGACCAAAAAAAAAAAAAAAAAAA